AUGGUUGUCGUCAGCUCGUGUCGUGAGAUGUUGGUUAAGUCCCGCAACGAGCGCAACCCCUAUUGUUAGUUGCCAUCAUUCAGUUGGGCACUCUAGCGAGACUGCCGGUAAUAAACCGGAGGAAGGUGGGGAUGACGUCAAAUCAUCAUGCCCCUUAUGACCUGGGCUACACACGUGCUACAAUGGGCGGUACAAAGGGUCGCGAACCCGCGAGGGGGAGCCAAUCCCAAAAAGCCGCUCUCAGCUCGGAUUGCAGGCUGCAACUCGCCUGCAUGAAGCCGGAAUCGCUAGUAAUCGCGGAUCAGCAUGCCGCGGUGAAUACGUUCCCGGGCCUU
Molecule: ribosomal RNA, 335 nt
Filed under: uncultured Geobacillus sp.
Lineage: Bacteria; Bacillati; Bacillota; Bacilli; Caryophanales; Anoxybacillaceae
Description: bacterial SSU rRNA
Rfam family: Bacterial small subunit ribosomal RNA
Source: RNAcentral